UUCCAGACUCCUACGGGAGGCAGCAGUGAGGAAUAUUGGUCAAUGGGCGCGAGCCUGAACCAGCCAAGUCGCGUGAGGGAUGACGGCCCUACGGGUUGUAAACCUCUUUUGUCGGGGAGCAAAUUCCGUUACGUGUAGCGGAGUCGAGAGUACCCGAAGAAAAAGCAUCGGCUAACUCCGUGCCAGCAGCCGCGGUAAUACGGAGGAUGCGAGCGUUAUCCGGAUUUAUUGGGUUUAAAGGGUGCGUAGGCGGACUGUCAAGUCAGCGGUAAAAUCGGGGGGCUCAACCUCGCUCCGCCGUUGAAACUGGCGUUCUUGAGUGGGCGAGAAGUAUGCGGAAUGCGUGGUGUAGCGGUGAAAUGCAUAGAUAUCACGCAGAACUCCGAUUGCGAAGGCAGCAUACCGGCGCCCAACUGACGCUGAAGCACGAAAGCGUGGGUAUCGAACAGGAUUAGAUACCCUGGUAA
RNAcentral lists this ribosomal RNA (467 nucleotides) under uncultured bacterium. Its description in RNAcentral is "bacterial SSU rRNA". It matches the Rfam family "Bacterial small subunit ribosomal RNA", at positions 329 to 793 of the family's 1533-position model. The record is from RNAcentral.